This 301-nucleotide ribosomal RNA is filed under the name uncultured bacterium. RNAcentral describes it as "partial 16S ribosomal RNA". It matches the Rfam family "Bacterial small subunit ribosomal RNA", at positions 509 to 807 of the family's 1533-position model. The record is from RNAcentral.
CAGUAGCCGCGGGAAUACAGAGGGUGCGAGCGUUAAUCGGAUUUACUGGGCGUAAAGCGUGCGUAGGCGGCUUCUUAAGUCGGAUGUGAAAUCCCUGAGCUUAACUUAGGAAUUGCAUUCGAUACUGGGAAGCUAGAGUAUGGGAGAGGAUGGUAGAAUUCCAGGUGUAGCGGUGAAAUGCGUAGAGAUCUGGAGGAAUACCGAUGGCGAAGCCAGCCAUCUGGCCUAAUACUGACGCUGAGGUACGAAAGCAUGGGGAGCAAACAGGAUUAGAUAACCCAGUAGUCCCUGUCUCUUAUAC